This 95-nucleotide transfer RNA is filed under the name Geoalkalibacter ferrihydriticus DSM 17813. Its description in RNAcentral is "tRNA-Sec". It matches the Rfam family "Selenocysteine transfer RNA". The record is from RNAcentral. Lineage: Bacteria; Pseudomonadati; Thermodesulfobacteriota; Desulfuromonadia; Desulfuromonadales; Geoalkalibacteraceae.
GGAGUAGUUCGUAGUCUGGUGACGCGCUCGGUCUUCAAAACCGAUGAGGGGCGUAUCCCGUCCCUGGUGGGUUCGAUUCCCAUCUGCUCCCGCCA